This 183-nucleotide ribosomal RNA is filed under the name Triticum aestivum (bread wheat). RNAcentral's name for it is "partial small subunit ribosomal RNA". Lineage: Eukaryota; Viridiplantae; Streptophyta; Magnoliopsida; Poales; Poaceae. The record is from RNAcentral.
AGAAAGGGCCUUGCAAUCCUCGUCAUGUUGAUCUCUUGGGAGAUUUGGAACAAGCGAAACACGCGGGUGUUUAGAAAUGUGUCAUCCUUGCCAACUGUAAUCACAUUUAAGAUUAAAACCAAUGCUGAGUUAUUGGGGUUGGCGGGGGCUAAGCGUCUAUGUUCUUUAAUGCCACAAGAGUAG